Molecule: unclassified non-coding RNA, 89 nt
Filed under: Pseudomonas orientalis
Lineage: Bacteria; Pseudomonadati; Pseudomonadota; Gammaproteobacteria; Pseudomonadales; Pseudomonadaceae
Source: RNAcentral
UGUGGGAGGGGGCUUGCUCCCGAUAGCGGUGGAUCAGUCAGUACAUCUGUCACUGACCCACUGCUAUCGGGGGCAAGCCCCCUCCCACA